AUGCCGUCAGUCACACGCAGUACACGUA
Molecule: non-coding RNA, 28 nt
Filed under: Homo sapiens (human)
Lineage: Eukaryota; Metazoa; Chordata; Mammalia; Primates; Hominidae
Source: RNAcentral